CUAGGCUUGACAUGCAGGGAAAUCUGGCAGAGAUGCCAGGUCCUUCGGGGCCUUGCACAGGUGGUGCAUGGCUGUCGUCAGCUCGUGUCGUGAGAUGUUGGGUUAAGUCCCGCAACGAGCGCAACCCUCGUUCUAUGUUGCCAGCGGUUCGGCCGGGGACUCAUAGAAGACUGCCGGGGUCAACUCGGAGGAAGGUGGGGAUGACGUCAAGUCAUCAUGCCCCUUAUGUCUAGGGCUGCACGCAUGCUACAAUGGUCGGUACAAAGGGCUGCAAUACCGUAAGGUGGAGCGAAUCCCAAAAAGCCGGCCUCAGUUCGGAUUGGGGUCUGCAACUCGACCCCAUGAAGUCGGAGUCGCUAGUAAUCGCAGAUCAGCAACGCUGCGGUGAAUACGUUCCC
This 398-nucleotide ribosomal RNA is filed under the name uncultured bacterium. RNAcentral describes it as "bacterial SSU rRNA". It matches the Rfam family "Bacterial small subunit ribosomal RNA", at positions 975 to 1375 of the family's 1533-position model. The record is from RNAcentral.